Molecule: long non-coding RNA, 258 nt
Filed under: Elaeis guineensis (African oil palm)
Lineage: Eukaryota; Viridiplantae; Streptophyta; Magnoliopsida; Arecales; Arecaceae
Description: long non-coding RNA (EGUI_LNC027736)
Source: RNAcentral
CUAGUUGGAACUCACGAUAGAGAGACUGUAUCACAUAGUAACAACACUUAGGGGUUCAUUCUUCUAUUUUAUUAGGUUGCCACUACAUACUACUAGACAUCAUCGGUGGAUCAUGAGAACUCUCUAGGAUCAUUUUUAGAUCAAUAAUUUUUAUUGAGAUGAGUUGAAAGCGUUCCAGCCCAUCGAAAGGAGUUUCGAUGAUAUCGUGAUGGAGAUCACGAUAUGUCUCACUAUCAGAUAGAAUAGAAUCUGAGGGAU